Molecule: ribosomal RNA, 198 nt
Filed under: Triticum aestivum (bread wheat)
Lineage: Eukaryota; Viridiplantae; Streptophyta; Magnoliopsida; Poales; Poaceae
Description: partial small subunit ribosomal RNA
Source: RNAcentral
AUGCGAUGGCGCAUUUCUGGUGGGGAGACGAGGAGAACCAAAAGAGGAUGCAUUGGAUGGCCUGGUGGAAAAUGUGUGUACCAAAAAACCAAGGAGGGAUGGGUUUCCGUGACAUCCACUGUUUCAACCUGGCUCUGCUUGCAAAACAGGCAUGGCGUCUCCUUGAUAAUCCUGACUCCUUGUGUGCUACUAUUCUAA